Molecule: ribosomal RNA, 429 nt
Filed under: Chloroflexota bacterium
Lineage: Bacteria; Bacillati; Chloroflexota
Description: Chloroflexi bacterium partial 16S ribosomal RNA
Rfam family: Bacterial small subunit ribosomal RNA
Source: RNAcentral
UGGGGAAUAUUGCACAAUGGGCGCAAGCCUGAUGCAGCCAUGCCGCUUGUAUGAAGAAGGCCUUCGGGUUGUAAAGUACUUUCAGCGGGGAGGAAGGGAGUAAAGUUAAUACCUUUGCUCAUUGACGCUACCGACAGAAGAAGCACCGGCUAACUCCGUGCCAGCAGCCGCGGUAAUACGGAGGGUGCAAGCGUUAAUCGGAAUUACUGGGCGUAAAGCGCACGCAGGCGGUUGAUUGAGUCAGAUGUGAAAUCCCCGGGCUUAACCCGGGAAUUGCAUCUGAUACUGGUCAGCUAGAGGCUUGUAGAGGGGGGUAGAAUUCCAUGUGUAGCGGUGAAAUGCGUAGAGAUGUGGAGGAAUACCGGUGGCGAAGGCGGCCCCCUGGACAAAGACUGACGCUCAGGUGCGAAAGCGUGGGGAGCAAACAGG